This 579-nucleotide ribosomal RNA is filed under the name uncultured bacterium. RNAcentral describes it as "partial 16S ribosomal RNA". It matches the Rfam family "Bacterial small subunit ribosomal RNA", at positions 355 to 932 of the family's 1533-position model. The record is from RNAcentral.
UGGGGAAUUUUGGACAAUGGGCGAAAGCCUGAUCCAGCAAUGCCGCGUGUGUGAAGAAGGCCUUCGGGUUGUAAAGCACUUUUGUCCGGAAAGAAAUCCUUGGCUCUAAUACAGUCGGGGGAUGACGGUACCGGAAGAAUAAGCACCGGCUAACUACGUGCCAGCAGCCGCGGUAAUACGUAGGGUGCAAGCGUUAAUCGGAAUUACUGGGCGUAAAGCGUGCGCAGGCGGUUUGCUAAGACCGAUGUGAAAUCCCCGGGCUCAACCUGGGAACUGCAUUGGUGACUGGCAGGCUAGAGUAUGGCAGAGGGGGGUAGAAUUCCACGUGUAGCAGUGAAAUGCGUAGAGAUGUGGAGGAAUACCGAUGGCGAAGGCAGCCCCCUGGGUCAAUACUGACGCUCAUGCACGAAAGCGUGGGGAGCAAACAGGAUUAGAUACCCUGGUAGUCCACGCCCUAAACGAUGUCAACUAGUUGUUGGGGAUUCAUUUCCUUAGUAACGUAGCUAACGCGUGAAGUUGACCGCCUGGGGAGUACGGUCGCAAGAUUAAAACUUAAAUGAAUUGACGGGGUCAUAGCUG